This 253-nucleotide ribosomal RNA is filed under the name uncultured bacterium. RNAcentral's name for it is "partial 16S ribosomal RNA". It matches the Rfam family "Bacterial small subunit ribosomal RNA", at positions 524 to 776 of the family's 1533-position model. The record is from RNAcentral.
UACGAAGGGGGCUAGCGUUGUUCGGAAUUACUGGGCGUAAAGCGCGUGUAGGCGGCCAGGUAAGUCCGUUCUGAAAGCCCGGGGCUCAACCCCGGGAGGCGGAUGGAUACUGCUUGGCUCGAGUCCGGAAGAGGCGAGUGGAAUUCCCGGUGUAGCGGUGAAAUGCGCAGAUAUCAGGAGGAACACCGGUGGCGAAGGCGGGUCUCUGGGCAGUAACUGACGCUGAGGAGCGAAAGCGUGGGGAGCGAACAGG